UACGAAGGGGGCUAGCGUUGCUCGGAAUCACUGGGCGUAAAGCGCACGUAGGCGGAUUGCUAAGUCAGGGGUGAAAUCCUGGAGCUCAACUCCAGAACUGCCUUUGAUACUGGCGAUCUCGAGUCCGGGAGAGGUGAGUGGAACUGCGAGUGUAGAGGUGAAAUUCGUAGAUAUUCGCAAGAACACCAGUGGCGAAGGCGGCUCACUGGCCCGGUACUGACGCUGAGGUACGAAAGCUAGGGGAGCGAACGGG
This 253-nucleotide ribosomal RNA is filed under the name uncultured bacterium. RNAcentral's name for it is "partial 16S ribosomal RNA". It matches the Rfam family "Bacterial small subunit ribosomal RNA", at positions 524 to 776 of the family's 1533-position model. The record is from RNAcentral.